This 468-nucleotide ribosomal RNA is filed under the name uncultured bacterium. Its description in RNAcentral is "partial 16S ribosomal RNA". It matches the Rfam family "Bacterial small subunit ribosomal RNA", at positions 28 to 507 of the family's 1533-position model. The record is from RNAcentral.
GACGAACGCUGGCGGCGUGCUUAACACAUGCAAGUCGAACGGAAAGGCCCUGCUUUUGUGGGGUGCUCGAGUGGCGAACGGGUGAGUAACACGUGAGUAACCUGCCCUUGACUUUGGGAUAACUUCAGGAAACUGGGGCUAAUACCGGAUAGGAGCUCCUGCUGCAUGGUGGGGGUUGGAAAGUUUCGGCGGUUGGGGAUGGACUCGCGGCUUAUCAGCUUGUUGGUGAGGUAGUGGCUUACCAAGGCUUUGACGGGUAGCCGGCCUGAGAGGGUGACCGGCCACAUUGGGACUGAGAUACGGCCCAGACUCCUACGGGAGGCAGCAGUGGGGAAUAUUGCACAAUGGGCGGAAGCCUGAUGCAGCAACGCCGCGUGCGGGAUGACGGCCUUCGGGCUGUAAACCGCUUUCGCCUGUGACGAAGCGUGAGUGACGGUAAUGGGUAAAGAAGCACCGGCUAACUACGUG